Molecule: non-coding RNA, 156 nt
Filed under: uncultured Anaerosacchariphilus sp.
Lineage: Bacteria; Bacillati; Bacillota; Clostridia; Lachnospirales; Lachnospiraceae
Source: RNAcentral
AAGCAGCUGGUGCCGUUAAAAAACGGAGAAUAGGGAAGCAGGUGAGAGACCUGCGCGAUCUCGUCACUGUAUGCAGGAGCGGCUUAUCAUACGUCACUGAGCCAUCGGGAAGACGAUAAGCAGCGCUUGUACUGUAAGCCAGGAGACCUGCCAGAC